AACGAACGCUGGCGGCAUGCCUAACACAUGCAAGUCGAACGAGAUCUUCGGGUCUAGUGACGCACGGGUGCGUAACGCGUGGGAAUCUGCCCUUUGGUCCGGAAUAACAGUUGGAAACGACUGCUAAUACCGGAUGAUGACGAAAGUCCAAAGAUUUGUCGCCAGAGGAUGAGCCCGCGUAGGAUUAGCUAGUUGGUGUGGUAAAGGCGCACCAAGGCGGCGAUCCUUAGCUGGUCUGAGAGGAUGAUCAGCCACACUGGGACUGAGACACGGCCCAGACUCCUACGGGAGGCAGCAGUGGGGAAUAUUGGACAAUGGGCGAAAGCCUGAUCCAGCAAUGCCGCGUGAGUGAUGAAGGCCUUAGGGUUGUAAAGCUCUUUUACCCGGGAUGAUAGUGACAGUACCGGGAGAAUAAGCUCCGGCUAACUCCGUGCCAGCCGCCGCGGUAA
This 449-nucleotide ribosomal RNA is filed under the name uncultured bacterium. Its description in RNAcentral is "partial 16S ribosomal RNA". It matches the Rfam family "Bacterial small subunit ribosomal RNA", at positions 29 to 523 of the family's 1533-position model. The record is from RNAcentral.